CAGUCGCCACGGUAAUACGUAGGGUGCGAGCGUUAAUCGGAAUUACUGGGCGUAAAGCGUGCGCAGGCGGUUUGUUAAGACAGAUGUGAAAUCCCCGGGCUCAACCUGGGAACUGCAUUUGUGACUGGCAAGCUAGAGUGUGGCAGAGGGGGGUGGAAUUCCGCGUGUAGCAGUGAAAUGCGUAGAUAUGCGGAGGAACACCGAUGGCGAAGGCAGCCCCCUGGGCCAACACUGACGCUCAUGCACGAAAGCGUGGGGAGCAAACAGGAUUAGAUACCCGUGUAGUCCCUGUCUCUUAUAC
RNAcentral lists this ribosomal RNA (301 nucleotides) under uncultured bacterium. Its description in RNAcentral is "partial 16S ribosomal RNA". It matches the Rfam family "Bacterial small subunit ribosomal RNA", at positions 509 to 807 of the family's 1533-position model. The record is from RNAcentral.